AUGUCGAGCCCGGGCAUCUCAUCUAAUCUAUCGUCGGCAUCCGCCAUGCCUGGAGAGGUCAAUGGGGUGGGCAUUGUGGAGCAUGCAUCCGAGUUUUAUCUGCCGGAAGACACCUGCACCGGCUUGGAGUACUGCUCGAAGCACCAUUGCACUGGACAUGGCCUAGUUCCGGCCCGUCAAGUUGCCUGGGGAGGGGGAAGCACCGGCCGACAGUUUUUAGGGUGCCCACUUGAUUUGCCAGAAGAGUGCCACUGGUUGGUUUGGGUUGAUCCGCCUCCCCCAACUCGUGUUGCACUUGCAUUUGAAAACAUGCAUGCUGAGAUUGAACGGAUGUGGAUCAAAAGUCAUCAGUUGCAGAAGAGAAACCUGGAGCUGGCGAAGAAGCGCACUUUGAAGAAGAAACUGAAAGAGCGAGAUGAAAUGUUGCGUGUGUGGAUACUGUUGUUUGGUAUUACCCUAUUGUGUGUUGUUGUUGUGGCCAUCUCUGUGUCUUCACAGAUUUGA
RNAcentral lists this ribosomal RNA (504 nucleotides) under Triticum aestivum (bread wheat). RNAcentral's name for it is "partial small subunit ribosomal RNA". Lineage: Eukaryota; Viridiplantae; Streptophyta; Magnoliopsida; Poales; Poaceae. The record is from RNAcentral.